AUUCCAGCUCCAAUAGCGUAUAUUAAAGUUGUUGCAGUUAAAAAGCUCGUAGUUGGAUUUCUGGCGUGCGACCCGGGUCGGCCCGAAAUGGGCCUGUACUAGGAGUCGCGCGCCAUCCUUGGGGCGAGGCGUACUACCAUUAACUUGGCGGUGCGUUGAGCCCCAUCGUUUACUGUGAACAAAUUAGAGUGUUUAAAGCAGGCAUAUGCCUUGAAUACAUUAGCAUGGAAUAAUAAGAUAGGACUUCGGUAAUAUUUUGUUGGUUCAUUAUUGAGGUAAUGAUUAAUAGGGAUAGUUGGGGGUAUUCAUAUUCAAUUGUCAGAGGUGAAAUUCUUGGAUUUAUGGAAGACGAACAACUGCGAAAGCAUUUACCAAGGAUGUUUUCAUUA
This 389-nucleotide ribosomal RNA is filed under the name Stramenopiles sp. MAST-9D. RNAcentral's name for it is "partial small subunit ribosomal RNA". It matches the Rfam family "Eukaryotic small subunit ribosomal RNA", at positions 582 to 975 of the family's 1831-position model. The record is from RNAcentral.